UGAGCGCGCAACCCCAGAGUCGGUCACAACUGGACCUAAUGGUCAGGGGCCCCUUUACCUUUACAUAUAUAAUAAAGGGAUGUGGGUGGCGCUGUGGGUUGAACCACAGAGGCUAGGGCUUGCUGAUCUGAAGGUCGGCAGUUCGAAUCCCCGCCAUUGCUCGGUCCCAGCUCCUGCCCACCUAGCAGUUCAAAAGCACAUCAAAGUGCAAGUAGAUAAAUAGGUACGACGUUUCCGUUCACUGCUCUAGUUUCGCCAGAAAUCAUGCUGGCCACAUGAUCCAGAAGCUUUCUGCGGACAAGGAUAAAGAGUCAGAGAGUGAAGAAGAAGAAGAAGAUAACAAUUUAAAUAAGAAACCCGACCAAGACUAGAUAAAAUCUUUCUUCCUGAUAUUAGGAAGUAAAAUGGCAUUGAAGAUACAUUCCUGGAAUGUGAAUGGCUUGAAUAAUAAAGCUAAAAGGAAUAAAAUUGAUCAUAUUUUGAAGAAGAAAAAUUUGGAUAUAAUUUGUCUCCAGGAAACACAUGUGGCGAAAAAACAUAGUUAUAUUCUUAGAAAUAAAAGGUUGGGUAAAGAAUUCAUAAAUUCGGCAGAAAAUAAGAAGAGAGGAGUGGUUUUGUAUAUAAAGGACAAAUUGGAUCCGAAAUUGAUCUUUAAAGAUGAAGAAGGAAGAGUGAUAGCGGUCCAAAUAUCGACCCAAGGAGAAAAAAUGUUGGUGGUGGGAAUUUAUGCACCGAAUGAGAAUAAAGCGGAAUUUUACAAGAAUUUGGAGGAAAGGUUGACAGAGUUCAUGGAUCAAAAGAUAGUGCUUAUGGGUGAUUUCAACGGAGUGACAGUGCCAGAAUUGGAUAGGACAAAGAAAAGGAAGAAUGAAGGUAAAUUACCAAAAUCUUUCUUUGAACUGGUAGAAAACCUGGGCCUAGUGGACAUUUGGAGGUUGAAGCACCCUACGACUAAACAGUUUACGUUCUUCUCAGAACCAAACCAAAGUUCGGGAAGAAUAGAUUAUAUAUGGAUCUCCAAAGAACUAGUGCCCAGGGUGAGCAAAACAGAGAUAAUACCACGAACACUGUCAGAUCACAACUCAAUAUUCAUGGAACUGAAAAGCAAAGAUCAAAAUUCUUUUAGGUGGAGAAUGAACGAAGAGCUUUUCGAAGACAAAGAGGUGGUGAAGAAAGCCAAGAAUGUCCUGAAAGACUAUUUUUACUGGAAUUUAUAUAAGGACACUGGACUCGACAUGGUAUGGGAUGCAAGCAAAGCAGUGAUGAGAGGCUUUCUGAUACAGCAAAACAGUUUCCUGAAACGAAAGAAAGAAAAGAAGAAGGAAGAAAUUUUGAAAUGUCUCAUGGAAAACGAGAAAAACCUGAUAGAUAAACCAGAGAAUCAACAAAUUAAAAACAACAUAAAGAUGUUACAGACACAAUUCUCUAUGUUGAUCAAUCAGGAGAUAGAGUGGAAAAUAAAACAGAUGAGACAAAAAAAAUUCGAAUUAGCUAAUAAAACUAAUUAGCUAAUUAAGGAAACGUCAAAAUCAAAAUAUAAUAACCAAGAUAAAUAUGGAGGGAAGAGUGACAGAGGAACCAAAGGAAAUUAAGAAAGCCUUUCAAAAAUUUUACAAAGAGUUGUAUGGUAAAAAGAAAGAAGAGGAGAAGAAGAUCAGUGAUUACUUGGGAAAUUUGGUCUGAAACAAAUUCCUGAAGAGGAAAGAAAGAAACUUAAUAACAGGAUAACAGCACAAGAAGUACAACAUGCAAUAAUGAGAAUGAAACAAGGAAAAGCCCCAGGACCAGAUGGACUUUCAGUGAAAUACUAUAAAGUUUUAAAUGGACAGUUGGCACCGAUUUUAGAAGAAGUGAUGAAUGAUAUUCUUGCAGGAGGAAAGAUCCCAAAUACAUGGAAGGAAGCGUAUAUAACAUUGAUUCCAAAGCCAGGUGCGGAUGGCUUAGAAGUCAGAAAUUAUAGACCAAUUUCAUUAUUGAAUAAUGACUAUAAGCUCUUUGCAGAUAUAAUGUCUAAGAGGUUGAAAGAAGUCUUGAAUGAAAUAAUACAUAAGGAUCAAGCUGGUUUUCUUCCUGGUAGACAGUUAAAGGACAAUGUUAGACAUAUAAUAGAUGUAAUAGAGUACCUGGAAACCAAGAUAGAUAAGCCAGCAGUAUUAAUGUUUGUGGAUGCAGAGAAAGCAUUUGAUAAUAUAUCUUGGCAGUUUAUGAAGAGGAAUUUGGAAUCGAUGGUUGGGAAAGAUUCAUUUUUGAAUGGGAUCGAGGCAAUAUAUUCAGAACAAAAAGCAAGAUUGAUAAUCAACAAUACAUUAACAGAAUAUUUUGAUAUCACAAAAGGAACUAGACAGGGAUGUCCUUUAUCUCCUUUAUUAUUCAUCAUGGUCCUGGAAGUGCUAUUGAAUAGAUUAAGAGACCUUUCCGCUAUCAGAGGAAUCAAAGUCGGUGCAAAACAAUUUAAAGUGAAAGCCUUCGCGGAUGAUUUGGUUCUAACAUUCGAAAAUCCCAAGGAAAGUGUUGCAGAAGCUAUAGAAGAAAUUGAGAAAUUUGGCCAACUGGCAGGAUUUAAAUUAAAUAGACAGAAAACAAAGGUUAUGGCAAUGAAUAUGACGAAAGAGGAAAAACAGGAGUUACAGCUAAAAUAUGGUUUCGACGUGGCAAAAAAAGUAAAAUACCUCGGAAUAUGGAUGACAGCAAAGAAUAUUAAUCUAUAUAGUGACAAUUAUGAACCAGUAUGGAGAGAAAUAAAGAAAGACCUGGAAAGAUGGACUAAUAUGAAUAUGUCAUUCAUAGGAAGAAUAGCAGCAAUAAAGAUGAGUAUAUUACCUAAAAUGUUAUUCCUAUUCCAAACUAUACCUGUUGUGAAGGGUACAAGACAAUUCCAAGAAUGGCAGAAGACUUUGUCAAGAUUUGUCUGGCAGGGGAAAAAGCCUAGAAUAAAACAUAAAAUUUUGGUAGAUAGAAAAGAAAGAGGCGGAUUCUCUCUACCAGACUUGAGACUUUAUUACGAAGCGUCUUGUAUGUGUUGGAUAAAAGAGUGGAUAACUCUAAAGAAUACGGACCUGCUAGAUUUGGAAGGUUUUAAUAAUAGAUUUGGAUGGCAUGCAUAUUUAUGUUAUGACAAAAAAAAGUCUCAUACAGGGUUUACAAACCAUGUGAUAAGAAGAUCUCUGUACGAGGUGUGGGAAAGAAAUAAAAUGCUGUUAGAGACUAAAAAACCAUGGUGGGUUUCACCAGUAGAGGUAUUAACAGUCAAAAAAGUAAAUAUGGAGGGGAGGUGGGCCACGUACGAGGAAAUUUUUGACAAGGACUGAAAAAGGAUGGAGAUUAAAACCCUACGAAGAAAUUAAAGGAGUUUUAACAGGAUGGAUACAAAAGGUCCAAAUUCCAAAUAGAAGUGCUAGAAGGCAAAACAAAGCUUCUGUCAAAAAUGUAUGAUUUGUUGUUAGAGUGGUACACAAAAGAUGAGUUGACAAAAUAAGUGAUGAUUAAAUGGGCAAAGGAUUUGGGGCAUAAUAUUGAAUAUGACGCGUGGUUGAAAUUAUGGAAUCAAACUUUAAGAUUUACAGCAUGUACUGCUUUGAAAGAAAAUGUAUAUAAGAUGAUGUAUAGAUGGUAUUUAACACCAGUUAAAUUAGCUAAAAUGUAUAGAAUGAGUGAUAAAACUUGCUGGAAAUGUAAAGAGAGAGAUGGUGAAUUUUAUUAUAUGUGGUGGACAUGCGAUAAGGUAAAAAGAUUUUGGGAGAUGCUUUAUAAUGAAUUGAAAAAGAUGUUUAGAUAUACUUUUCCAAAAAAACCGGAAGCAUUUUUGUUAGGAAUAAUAGGAGGAGAGAUUAGAAAAGAAGAUCAAGUAUUGUUUAUGUAUGCGACAACCGCGGCUACGACAUUGUUAGCUCAAAAAUGGAAAUUACAGGAAUUACCAACAAUUGAGGAGUGGCAGACAAAAAUGAUGGACUAUGCUGAACUUGCUAGGUUGACUUGCAAGAUCCGCGACCAAGGUGAGACGAGGUUUCAAAAAGACUGGAGUAAAUAUGUGGACUAUAUGGAGAAAAACUGUAGAUCUUUAAAAACACUUGCAGGAUUGAAAUAAAUCCUACGAAUUGACUAAAAAGGUCAAAAAGGAACUGCAAAAAUGGAGUUAACAAGAAACCCGCAAGAAGGGAGGGGGGGAAGUUACAGCUCGGCAGAGCAAGAUGUAAGAUGAAAAUAUAAGAUGUUUUGUAUAAAAGAUUGUUUUUUUUAUUUUAAUUUGAUAAAUUGGAAAAUGGAAUAAAAUUUAUUUUAAAAAAAACACAGAAGCUUUCUGCGGACAAACGCCGGCUCCCUCGGCCAAUAAAGCGAGAUGAGUGCCGCAACCCCAGAGUCAUCCUAGACUGGACCUAAUGGUCAGGGAUCCCUUUACCUUUACCCUUUAAGCUUGUUGAUGUUAUAAUAAUUUUAAGGUCACACACAUACACACACAUAAUAGAUGUUCAUAAAUGUACCAAGCAAACACAUACAAAUAUGUAAACCACAUUUCUGAAACCCACAGAAAAGUCCUGAAACCAUUUUCUCUCUUCCAAAUUCCAAAUUGACCUCAGAUAUUUCUCUGCAAGGUCAAAGGAAAUGGGGAAUCUCCCCGUUGUCUCUUUGCUCACAAAUCCUGUCUCAAGGGCACAUUUAAGAUAUGAAUAGGGUGAACCUGUGACCUGGAUUUAGGAAUUGAAUAACAAAAGAGUGGCCAGGAUGCCCAGGUAAUCCAAGCAAGUAACCUAGCAGACAGGAGGAAAAACAACACACUCAGAUUUCUGUUGUAGUCCGCCCCUUCUCCGAUGUAUCUGGGGGGGUGGUGGUCUUGAGCUACAGGGUGGGCAAUUUCAAAGUGUAUAUAAGGGCUUGCACACCUUUGUCCGGGGUCCUCCUCUCUCCUGCGUGUGGGGGGAGCACCCUGUUACAACAGCUUUAAUAAAGAUCAGGCUUAUAGCUGCUUUGCUUUCGUAUAUCCUGCUCUGGUCUCUGUUCAUUUCCUGACCGGUUUGAGCUGUAAAAGAUACGCUCUCUCCAAAGGUCCAGUCCCUUGAAGGGACCCCUCAUUGACUCUGGAAUUUCAUGGGAAAUUCAAUACAGUACAGAAAUGCAAGUAUCAUUAUUCGAGGAAGCCAUAAAUACCCAGUUUUAAAACUGAUGUUUCUCUCUCUUUGCAAAUAUGCCAUGGGUGGCCAUACCUGAAUCUGGAAGCUGGAUAUAUUUCUCUAGCUAAAGAUCAGUCGCUUCGGCUGGAAGCUAGAGUCUGCAAAGCGAGGGAGGAUAUGGAUCUGUUGAAUAGGCAAGGGCAGAAAGAGCUACAUUGCUUCAUGCAACGUCUUUAGACUCCCAGAAAUCUCCUGCUGUGACAUGGAUAUAGUGAACUACUACAUUUUUUGACCGCUUCAAUUCAGUCCCCUGCUCUGAACCCUUCAGCAGUAUCCAUAAUGGAGUCAUAGCUGUGUUCCAGCGAAAAGGUCUUGCAGAACACGAACUCUACAAUCUGAAUGAAGGAGUCAGGUGAGUCAGAUCAGCAGAUUGUACACCUGUCCCAAGACACAGAAAUCACCACGGAGGGUCAUUGUUUCAUAAGUGAUCUGUACCAUUUUACUUUAUUCCAGCUAUUGAUAUAGUGGCACUAUUGACAGUGCAGAGAGAUGCACAAAGGCAAGCUCCUCAAGGAAUUAACGUAGGCUCUGCUGCUGUUGUUGGCAUCCAUCUUUCUUGAGAGACAAUGGAGUGUGCCUCCAGGGGUGUAGCCAAACGGCUGUGUUAGCAGCACCAAAGUGACCUCCCUGGGGUGCAAGAGGGUAGUUACCAUAUUUUUGCCCUUGAAAAGUUCAUACAGUUGAAGAGAGGAUCUUUCCAGCUUCCUCCUUCAUCUCAGUGUGCAUUUCCCUUUUCAUACAAGCCCUGCAACUUUUCAAAGGUGCCAGAAAACAGCAGGGCUAAUCACCAACCCUCCUUUAGACAGCAGCAGCCAGUCCUGUUUCACCACCUGAGGCGAAAUGACACAGAGCUGUUGCCCCUUGGCCGAAGCCUCACUUACUGGGGUUGCAAGAUCUCGCUCUUUCUCCUCACGUCUCGGGCAGCAGGAGCAGGCGGAGCAGCGACAAGGGGGCUGCCUUGAGGUAUUCACCACCCAAGGCAGCUGCCUCAGGCUGCCUCAUGGGUGGGCUGGCCCUAGCUGUAGGUGUUGUUGUUUAGUCGCUUAGUCGUGUCCGACUCUUCAUGACCCCAUGGACCAUAGCACGCCAGGCACUCCUGUCUUCCACUGCCUCCCGCAGUUUGGUCAGACUCAUGUUGGUAGCUUCGAGAACACUGUCCAACCAUCUCGUCCUCUGUCGUCCCCUUCUCCUAGUGCCCUCCAUCUUUUCCAACAUCAGGGUCUUUUCCAAGGAUUCUUCUCUUCUCAUGAGGUGGCCAAAGUAUUGGAGCCUCAGCUUCACGAUUUGUCCUUCCAGUGAGCACUCGGGGCUGAUUUCCUUAAGAAUUGAUAGGUUUGAUCUUCUUGCAGUCCAUGGGACUCUCAAGAGUCUCCUCCAGCACCAUAAUUCAAAAGCAUAGCUGUAGGUAGAGGAGACAUAUUUAAAAUAUGUUAUGUGGUUGCUGUAAGCGAUAAUACCUUUUAUCCUUUUCUUGAUGCCCACUGAGGCUAGAAUUUUCUACCCCUCCUCCAGCAGCCUUCUUUGUUUAUCUGCUGGCUGUGGACAAAGAUGCUGUGCCUUCGCCCUGCCCAGCAUGAAGAGCAAGCAGGCUUGCAGCAAAAGCCUGGAGCACUGCAUGCCCCCUGUCCUUCCCCUGCCAGCCCGCUUCAUUUCUACACUGGCUCUAGAUAAGGGCUAUGUUCCCUCCUAUGUGUACAGCAUAAAAGCCAAGAGCUGGCAGGAAAUGUGCAGGUCGCUCCAUGUCUCCUUCACCAGGUUGCUAUAUUUGCUAUACAGUCAUACCUCGGGUUACGUUUGCUUUGGGUUACGUACUUUUGAGUUGCGUACUCCGCAAACCUGGAAGUAUUUUUUGCCGCGCACGCAGUCUGUGCAUGCGCAGAAGCGUUAUGCGCAGAAGCGCAUGCACAGAAGCGCGCUUCCUCGCUCGUUUGGGUUACAUACUUUUCGGGUUAUGAACCUCACCCCUGAAGGAAUCUACGUAACCUGAGAUACCACUGUAUAUUUUUCCUAGUCUGUUUUCUACUUAUAAGAGAGGCUGGCAAAGAAGUGAAAAACACUCCAUUCAUCCUCUACUGGGCCACUUUUAGGAGUUAAACAAAUCUGAUAUAUUUUAUUUUUUAUUAUUUGUAGUCUAGGGUUGACUUUGUAUGGCUGCGGUAAAAGGAUAGGAAGAUAAGGCCAUGAAAAGCUCUUCAUGGCUGGUAAAGCUGAAAUAAGCCUGUCCUUUGAAGGUCUUUGCUGCAUUUCCUAAGGGCUAGUUGGAAUAAUUGUUCUUUCCUGUGCUAUAUUUUUUGGAGCAGACGUAUCUUUUCCCCUGCACUGAUUAUGUUGGUAAGAAUUUUAGAUAUUUACUGUACUGUAUGAGAAGAACAGAAUUUGAUAACAAAUGUGCUUUUAACAUUGUUGAAUGAAUGAACUGAUGGAUAGGAGAGACAGCUGUCAGAAUGGUGGAAGUCUAAGGCAGUGUUUCCCAACCUUGUGCCUCCAGAUGUUUUGAGACUACAACUCCCAUCAUCCCUAGCUAGCAAGACCAGUGGUCAGGAAUGAUGGGAAUUGUAGUCCGAAAACAGCUGGAGGCACAAGGUUGGGAAACACUGGUCUAAGGCAUAUAGAGGGUCACACAUGAGAGAGGGAUCAGUUGCGUCAAAGGCAACAAAGGAAGCAGAACAAGAGAGAGAAGAGACCUUUGGACUUGCCAACAAGAAGAUUGUCCGUGGAGUGCAAAGGGUGGAAGCUAGAUUGUAGGGGCUGAGAAAUGGAGCUGGAAGAGUAAGCCAAGUACCGGUAGGAGUGAGCAGCCUGCUGAAAAUUUGAGGAAGACAAGAAGAGAGAGGAAAUUGUGAUAAAGCAGGAUAUCAGUGACUCAAGCUUUGAGGUAUUUUUAGCUGCUUCCAGAUGCUGGUGACAGACAAAGCACAUUGCAGAAUUGCUUUGCUAACCUCUGCUGUGGCUGUUGCCCAAUACAAAGGCAGCUCCUUUUUGUAUAUGGCAGUUUUGAACAGCUAAGCUACAUUUGUUUUUCUGAAUUAAAAUUGAAGGCACCAGGAAAGUUAAGCUCAGCUUACUUUUUAAGCCUCGCAGACUGAGGGCCCAACUAGAUGUGAUGCAAUCUGCAGGUUUGUGUUGUUUGUUUUUGCUUCAGAACAAGCAUUCCCGUGUGGAAUUGCUCAUUUUGUACAGUGCCACUAUUUCAGGAAGUGUUGUGUGGUUCAACUAUGAUCUAACAAGGUAUUGUGUCGCUUUUAAGAGACGAACACAUUUACUCUUGCAUGAACAUUCACUGGCCAUAAAGUACAGUGCAUGUACAGCACAAUGUGAUGGUCACAUGAUUUUUUAGUAUUAUUAUUACUCUCUUUG
Non-coding RNA from Zootoca vivipara (common lizard), 8522 nucleotides. Lineage: Eukaryota; Metazoa; Chordata; Lepidosauria; Squamata; Lacertidae. The record is from RefSeq and is a predicted model, not a curated record.